This 425-nucleotide ribosomal RNA is filed under the name uncultured Acidovorax sp. RNAcentral's name for it is "bacterial SSU rRNA". It matches the Rfam family "Bacterial small subunit ribosomal RNA", at positions 354 to 771 of the family's 1533-position model. The record is from RNAcentral. Lineage: Bacteria; Pseudomonadati; Pseudomonadota; Betaproteobacteria; Burkholderiales; Comamonadaceae.
GUGGGGAAUUUUGGACAAUGGGCGAAAGCCUGAUCCAGCCAUGCCGCGUGCAGGAUGAAGGCCUUCGGGUUGUAAACUGCUUUUGUACGGAACGAAAAGACUCUGGUUAAUACCUGGGGUCCAUGACGGUACCGUAAGAAUAAGCACCGGCUAACUACGUGCCAGUAGCCGCGGUAAUACGUAGGGUGCAAGCGUUAAUCGGAAUUACUGGGCGUAAAGCGUGCGCAGGCGGUUAUAUAAGACAGAUGUGAAAUCCCCGGGCUCAACCUGGGAACUGCAUUUGUGACUGUAUAGCUAGAGUACGGCAGAGGGGGAUGGAAUUCCGCGUGUAGCAGUGAAAUGCGUAGAUAUGCGGAGGAACACCGAUGGCGAAGGCAAUCCCCUGGGCCUGUACUGACGCUCAUGCACGAAAGCGUGGGGAGCAA